Molecule: unclassified non-coding RNA, 251 nt
Filed under: uncultured fungus
Lineage: Eukaryota; Fungi
Description: partial contains 5.8S rRNA and ITS2
Rfam family: 5.8S ribosomal RNA (bases 1-52)
Source: RNAcentral
AACGCACAUUGCGCCCUCUGGUAUUCCGGAGGGCAUGCCUGUUCGAGCGUCAUUAUCAACCAUCAAGCUCUGCUUGGCAUUGGGCGCCGACCUCCCCUCACCGGGGGGUCGCGCCUCAAACUGUUCGGCGGUGGCUCGUGGCCUCAAGCGUUAGUAAUACUUCCCGCUUCAGAGAAAAUGAGUUGCCUGCCUCUAGAAACCCACAUCUUAAGGUUGACCUCGGAUCAGGUAGGGAUACCCGCUGAACUUAA